UACAGAGGGGGCAAGCGUUGUUCGGAAUUACUGGGCGUAAAGGGCGCGUAGGCGGCCGCCUAAGUCAGACGUGAAAUCCCUCGGCUCAACCGGGGAACUGCGUCUGAUACUGGGAGGCUUGAAUGCGGGAGAGGGAUGUGGAAUUCCAGGUGUAGCGGUGAAAUGCGUAGAUAUCUGGAGGAACACCGGUGGCGAAGGCGGCAUCCUGGACCGACAUUGACGCUGAGGCGCGAAAGCUAGGGGAGCAAACGGG
This 253-nucleotide ribosomal RNA is filed under the name uncultured bacterium. RNAcentral's name for it is "partial 16S ribosomal RNA". It matches the Rfam family "Bacterial small subunit ribosomal RNA", at positions 524 to 776 of the family's 1533-position model. The record is from RNAcentral.